Molecule: non-coding RNA, 19 nt
Filed under: Arabidopsis thaliana (thale cress)
Lineage: Eukaryota; Viridiplantae; Streptophyta; Magnoliopsida; Brassicales; Brassicaceae
Source: RNAcentral
GAAUUUUGGUGCUUCUCUC